AACACAUGCAAGUCGAGCGGUAGCACAGAGAGCUUGCUCUCGGGUGACGAGCGGCGGACGGGUGAGUAAUGUCUGGGAAACUGCCUGAUGGAGGGGGAUAACUACUGGAAACGGUAGCUAAUACCGCAUAACGUCGCAAGACCAAAGUGGGGGACCUUCGGGCCUCAUGCCAUCAGAUGUGCCCAGAUGGGAUUAGCUAGUAGGUGGGGUAACGGCUCACCUAGGCGACGAUCCCUAGCUGGUCUGAGAGGAUGACCAGCCACACUGGAACUGAGACACGGUCCAGACUCCUACGGGAGGCAGCAGUGGGGAAUAUUGCACAAUGGGCGCAAGCCUGAUGCAGCCAUGCCGCGUGUGUGAAGAAGGCCUUCGGGUUGUAAAGCACUUUCAGCGGGGAGGAAGGCGAUAAGGUUAAUAACCUUGUCGAUUGACGUUACCCGCAGAAGAAGCACCGGCUAACUCCGUGCCAGCAGCCGCGGUAAUACGGAGGGUGCAAGCGUUAAUCGGAAUUACUGGGCGUAAAGCGCACGCAGGCGGUCUGUCAAGUCGGAUGUGAAAUCCCCGGGCUCAACCUGGGAACUGCAUUCGAAACUGGCAGGCUAGAGUCUUGUAGAGGGGGGUAGAAUUCCAGGUGUAGCGGUGAAAUGCGUAGAGAUCUGGAGGAAUACCGGUGGCGAAGGCGGCCCCCUGGACAAAGACUGACGCUCAGGUGCGAAAGCGUGGGGAGCAAACAGGAUUAGAUACCCUGGUAGUCCACGCCGUAAACGAUGUCGAUUUGGAGGUUGUGCCCUUGAGGCGUGGCUUCCGGAGCUAACGCGUUAAAUCGACCGCCUGGGGAGUACGGCCGCAAGGUUAAAACUCAAAUGAAUUGACGGGGGCCCGCACAAGCGGUGGAGCAUGUGGUUUAAUUCGAUGCAACGCGAAGAACCUUACCUGGUCUUGACAUCCACAGAACUUAGCAGAGAUGGUUUGGUGCCUUCGGGAACUGUGAGACAGGUGCUGCAUGGCUGUCGUCAGCUCGUGUUGUGAAAUGUUGGGUUAAGUCCCGCAACGAGCGCAACCCUUAUCCUUUGUUGCCAGCGGUUCGGCCGGGAACUCAAAGGAGACUGCCAGUGAUAAACUGGAGGAAGGUGGGGAUGACGUCAAGUCAUCAUGGCCCUUACGACCAGGGCUACACACGUGCUACAAUGGCAUAUACAAAGAGAAGCGACCUCGCGAGAGCAAGCGGACCUCAUAAAGUAUGUCGUAGUCCGGAUUGGAGUCUGCAACUCGACUCCAUGAAGUCGGAAUCGCUAGUAAUCGUAGAUCAGAAUGCUACGGUGAAUACGUUCCCGGGCCUUGUACACACCGCCCGUCACACCAUGGGAGUGGGUUGCAAAAGAAGUAGGUAGCUUAACCUUCGGGAGGGCGCUACC
Molecule: ribosomal RNA, 1415 nt
Filed under: Klebsiella pneumoniae
Lineage: Bacteria; Pseudomonadati; Pseudomonadota; Gammaproteobacteria; Enterobacterales; Enterobacteriaceae
Description: 16S ribosomal RNA
Rfam family: Bacterial small subunit ribosomal RNA
Source: RNAcentral